RNAcentral lists this ribosomal RNA (252 nucleotides) under uncultured bacterium. RNAcentral's name for it is "partial 16S ribosomal RNA". It matches the Rfam family "Bacterial small subunit ribosomal RNA", at positions 524 to 776 of the family's 1533-position model. The record is from RNAcentral.
UACGUAGGUCCCGAGCGUUGUCCGGAUUUAUUGGGCGUAAAGCGAGCGCAGGUGGUUUAUUAAGUCUGGUGUAAAAGGCAGUGGCUCAACCAUUGUAUGCAUUGGAAACUGGUAGACUUGAGUGCAGGAGAGGAGAGUGGAAUUCCAUGUGUAGCGGUGAAAUGCGUAGAUAUAUGGAGGAACACCGGUGGCGAAAGCGGCUCUCUGGCCUGUAACUGACACUGAGGCUCGGAAGCGUGGAGAGCAAACAGG